UGGGGAAUAUUGCACAAUGGGGAACCGUAGCUGCAGCCAUGCCGCGUGUAUGAAGAAGGCCUUAGGGUUGUAAAGUACUUUCGGUGAUGAGGAAGGUACUUGGUCUAAUAGGCCAAGUAAUUGACGUUAAUUACAGAAGAAGCACCGGCUAACUCCGUGCCAGCAGCCGCGGUAAUACGGAGGGUGCGAGCGUUAAUCGGAAUGACUGGGCGUAAAGGGCAUGUAGGCGGAUGAUUAAGUUAGGUGUGAGAUCCCCCGAGCUCAACUUGGGAAUUGCAUUUAAAACUGGUCGUCUAGAGUAUUGUAGAGGAAGGUAGAAUUCCACGUGUAGCGGUGAAAUGCGUUAGAGAUGUGGAGGAAUACCGGUGGCGAAGGCGGCCUUCUGGACAGAUACUGACGCUGAGAUGCGAAAGCGUGGGGAGCAAACA
RNAcentral lists this ribosomal RNA (428 nucleotides) under uncultured Orbus sp. RNAcentral's name for it is "bacterial SSU rRNA". It matches the Rfam family "Bacterial small subunit ribosomal RNA", at positions 355 to 774 of the family's 1533-position model. Lineage: Bacteria; Pseudomonadati; Pseudomonadota; Gammaproteobacteria; Orbales; Orbaceae. The record is from RNAcentral.